Molecule: ribosomal RNA, 495 nt
Filed under: Entelexis cf. sorbosivorans CBS 2250
Lineage: Eukaryota; Fungi; Ascomycota; Dipodascomycetes; Dipodascales; Trichomonascaceae
Description: LSU rRNA
Rfam family: Eukaryotic large subunit ribosomal RNA
Source: RNAcentral
UGCAUAUCAAUAAGCGGAGGAAAAGAAACCAACAGGGAUUGCCCUAGUAAUGGCGAAUGAACAGGCAAAAGCUCAGAUUUGAAACCCUCGGGAUUGUAAUCUGGAGACCUGGAUUUGGCGCGCUGACCAAGUCUUCUGGAAUGGAGCGCCAUGGAGGGUGACAGCCCCGUAGCAGCAGCCACUGUAAAUCCGGGUCGACGAGUCGAGUUGUUUGGGAAUGCAGCUCUAAGUGGGUGGUAUGCUCCAUCUAAAGCUAAAUAUUGGCGAGAGACCGAUAGCGAACAAGUACUGUGAAGGAAAGAUGAAAAGAACUUUGAAAAGAGAGUGAAAAAGUACGUGAAAUUGUUGAAAUGGAAGGCAAUGAGGUGCGAUUGAACCGGACGUUUGCGGGCAGGACAAAAGCGCAGGCCGCCUCGGCAUUGCCUGCGUGCAUACUGCCUCGCGGACUACCGGUUCUAACAACGCCUUAUUGCACCCGUCUUGAAACACGGACCA